GGCGGAGAGCGGAUCUAGGGUUUUGUUUUUGAAAAUACAGGGCAGCCUCCUGCUUCUUUUUUCAUUCAUUUCCCUUCUAUUCUAAGUUAUUUUCGUAGGAAGAAAUGAAUAAUAAGAUGCGAUGACGAUUGCAUAGUAGAGAAAAUCGUUGAUUGUGUGAUGGUUUUUCAGAAUCAUCAGCAAGAUGAGUCUCUUGUUUUGGUUCGUAUUCACUGAGCAUCUUUUCCCUGUAAAGUUUUUCUUUAAUUUAAAAGUUUUAGAGAAGAAAACGAAGGGACCUAUGGAAGGAGUGCGAUAAAAGAAAAUGCACUCUUCUCCAAGUUUACCUUCGGAGAUUGGCGUCGAUGGCUGAUCAUAUGAACCAUGAUCUAUUUUGGAAUGAUUUUUGAGUUCGCAGAUCUGAUUUUCGUACAUAUUUAUUUGUUUAUCAUAUAACGUAAGACUUAAGAUUUAGGUUUAAAGCGAAGGUCCCAGCAGGGAGGCAGGACUCUGAAUUGAGGCCUCUCUAACAACAAUAGAAAUUACCUUCGCAGAUUAAUCUGCCGAAUCGUAGGAUGCCCUGAAUUUUCCAUUUUUGUGGCGUCCGGAACCCUCGGCUAUAUCUUUCCAUGAUCCUCUAAAAUUUGGUCCUAAAUUGUAAUCCUAUAACAACGAAAAAGUUGUAUUCAAUAUCCAUAUUCCUUAUUGUUAUUAUUUUCACUUUUAAAUUUUAGUCCAAUAAUCGAGAUUUUACAAAAAAAUUAAAAAUUAAAGUAUAUAUAAUAAAUUAUUUAUUGAAUACUAAAAGUUUAAGAUUUUAUUUUAAAUUUAAUUAUUACUGAAAUAUGUUUCCAGAUAAACAAUGUAAAGACAACAAGAACUAACGCAAGUGGAGCCACUGCAGUGCAGAAUUAACGGCACAGCCCCUUAAGUGCAGAGAACGCGUACACUAAAUGUU
RNAcentral lists this long non-coding RNA (937 nucleotides) under Ricinus communis (castor bean). RNAcentral describes it as "long non-coding RNA (RCOM_LNC000200)". The stretch from base 460 to 606 matches the Rfam family "Small nucleolar RNA snoR145". The record is from RNAcentral. Lineage: Eukaryota; Viridiplantae; Streptophyta; Magnoliopsida; Malpighiales; Euphorbiaceae.